GUGGGGAAUAUUGGACAAUGGGCGAAAGCCUGAUCCAGCCAUGCCGCGUGAGUGACGAAGGUCUUCGGAUUGUAAAGCUCUUUUGGCGGGGACGAUAAUGACGGUACCCGCAGAAUAAGCCCCGGCUAACUUCGUGCCAGCAGCCGCGGUAAUACGAAGGGGGCUAGCGUUGUUCGGAAUUACUGGGCGUAAAGCGCACGUAGGCGGACUUAUAAGUCAGGGGUGAAAUCCCGGGGCUCAACCUCGGAACUGCCUUUGAUACUGUAAGUCUCGAGACCGGAAGAGGUGAGUGGAAUUCCUAGUGUAGAGGUGAAAUUCGUAGAUAUUAGGAAGAACACCAGUGGCGAAGGCGGCUCACUGGUCCGGUUCUGACGCUGAGGUGCGAAAGCGUGGGGAGCAAACAGGAUUAGAAACCCCUGUAGUCC
Molecule: ribosomal RNA, 425 nt
Filed under: uncultured bacterium
Lineage: Bacteria
Description: partial 16S ribosomal RNA
Rfam family: Bacterial small subunit ribosomal RNA
Source: RNAcentral